GGCUUGUUGAUUAUAAUUUCAGGUCUGACCUGCCCUAUGAGUUGAUUAAAUGGCCGCGGUAUUUUGACCGUGCAAAGGUAGCAUAAUCACUAGUUUUUUAAUUGAAAGCUUGAAUGAAAGGUUUGAUGAAAAAAGUUCUGUCUCUAGAAAGAUUUAUUAAAAUUUUAUUUUUAAGUUAGAAAGCUUAAAUUUACAUAGAAGACGAGAAGACCCUGUAGAGUUUUAUAUUUUUAUAGAAGGCUAAAUUUUAAGUAUAAAAAUUUAAUUUUUUAUAAAAAGUAUUUUGUUGGGGUGAUAGGAAAAUUAGUAAAACUUUUCUUAUAUAAUUACAUUUAUUUGUGGGUUGAUGAUCCUUAUGUUAAGAUUAAAAGAUUAAAUUACCUCAGGGAUAACAGCGUUAUUUUUUUUAGAGUUCUUAUCAAAAAAAAAGUUUGCGACCUCGAUGUUGGAUUAAAGUAAGUUGCUGGUGUAGGAGCUAGUAAAUUGAGUCUGUUCGACUUUUAAUACUUUACAUGAUCUGAGUUUAAACCGGCGUGAG
This 538-nucleotide ribosomal RNA is filed under the name Trigonopterus sp. 685 AR-2022a. RNAcentral describes it as "partial large subunit ribosomal RNA". It matches the Rfam family "Bacterial large subunit ribosomal RNA", at positions 1819 to 2625 of the family's 2925-position model. Lineage: Eukaryota; Metazoa; Arthropoda; Insecta; Coleoptera; Curculionidae. The record is from RNAcentral.